Molecule: ribosomal RNA, 2868 nt
Filed under: Pilophorus fibula
Lineage: Eukaryota; Fungi; Ascomycota; Lecanoromycetes; Lecanorales; Cladoniaceae
Description: 16S ribosomal RNA
Rfam family: Bacterial large subunit ribosomal RNA
Source: RNAcentral
AACAAUUCUAAUAAUAAAUUAAAUAUUUAGGAAACGAAGUGAAUUGAAAUAUCUUAAUAACUUCAGGAAAAUAAAUCAAAAGAGAUUUCUUGAGUAAUGUGAAUGAAACGGAACGAGUCUUAAUUUUGUUGCAGGUAUUGCAUGCUUUUUUGAAGCAGAUAAUAUCGGUAAAAAAUUAAAAAGUAAAAUGGAGUGCAUAUCUGUUUGAAUAUAAGGGGAACCUUCCUCUAAGACUAAAUAUAAUAUAUAAGCGAUAGCGUACAGUACUGUGAGGGAAAUGAUUGAAAUAGUAAUUUUAUAAGCAGCUCAAAAAUGGUUUAAAUAUACAAUAAGAGCGUACCUUUUGCAUAAUGGGUCAGCAAGUUAAUAUUUGAUGCGAGCAGUAAUUUUUUUUAAUGCAAAGAUAAAACAAUUGUGAUAUAUUGAUGUAGUAUCAAAAUUAGACCCGAAGCCUAGUGAUCUUACCAUGAUCAGGAUUAUAAAAGUCCGAACGGGUUAUCGUUGUAAAGAUAUCCGAAGAAUUGUGGUAAGUUAGUGAAAGACAAGACUGACUAGGAUAGCUGGUUUUCUGCGAAACCUAUAGAAGUAGGUAAUUUAAAUAAAAUAUCAGAAGGUACAGAAUUGUGAUCUCAUAUAACUAGUGUUCUUCUUUUUUAUUAAUUUAUUUUUUUAACCAAUUGAAACAAAUGAAAUAAGAUAAAAGAUAUACUUUUUGUGGACAUUGGGGGGUCGGGAAGGCCCUAUCAGUGAGUAUUUGUUCUCGGAAGGACUAGAUAUGUAUUUUAAAUAAUCGGACAUAGUACGAAAAGGUUGUAUGUCUAAAGGGAAACAGCCCAGAACAAGAGUUAAUAAGGUUCCAAAAUUUUUGUUAAGUGAAAAUAAGGCAGUUUUUAUCCUAACCGGCCAGGGAAUAGACUUAGAAGCGGCCAUUUCUUGAAGACCUCGUAACAGAGCACUGGUUUUAAUUGUUAUACGGAUAAAAGCACCGAAAAUUUAACGGAUCUAAACAAAAUACCGAAACCUUGUCCUUAUAUUUUAAUAUAUAUACAAUAUAUGUUGUAUAUAAGGGGUAGCGGAAUAUUGAGCAAUCAUUUUUAAUCCUUUAUAAGGAUUAAAACGUCUUUAGAUCUUACAAACAAAAUCUAAAAACUAAAUAAGCCCAAGUAAGAAUGCUGACACGAGUAACGAUAAAGGAGAGCUGCUCUCCUCGCCUAAAGCUUAUGGCAUUUAAUUAAAGUUACGGCCUCUAAGUUUAAUAUAAUUACAUAAUUAUCUAUUUUUUAUAUUGAUAUAUAACAUUUAUAUUAUAUGGAUUGUACUAUUUAUGUCUAUUACCUAAUGGUAUAAACGAUGAGAAAACCUAGAGUUUACAGAAAUAAACAUUUUUUAUAUUACAUAAACAUUAAGAUUAAGUAAAUUAAGUGAAAUAUGUUCUGGAAAACUGUAAAUUCCGUAAAUAAAAAUAUACUUAAACAGAUUAUAUUUUAAGUUUACGCCAUAAUACCGUACCUAAAUACUAACACAAGUGAGCAAGUAGAAAAUACGAAGGCGUUCGAGCUAACAAUCAUUAAGGAACUCGGCAAAAUGACUCUCGUAACUUCGGGAUAAGGAGGGCCAUUUCUUCUGAUUAAUAUCAGGUAAGAAACAGGUAGCAUAAAAUUGUGUUGUACGACUGUUUAAUUAAAACAAAGCACGCUGCGAAGAAAUUAAUUCGAUGUAUUGAGUGUGAUCUCUGCCCAAUGGCGGCUGGUUAACUAAUUUGCUUAGUUGACUAAAUUAAGCUAGGCUUUGAUGGAAACCCCGUUUAAUGGCGGCCUUACCUAUAAGGGUCCUAAGGUAGCGGAAUACCUUGGCCGUUAAAUGCGGUCUUGCAUGAAUGAUGUAACGAUACAACAGCUGUCUCUAUGAUUGGCUCGGUGAAAUUGGAAUAACUGUGCAGAUACAGUUUACCUCUAGUUAGACGAGAAGACCCUAUGCAGCUUUACUGUUGCUAGUUAUUGAAUAUGAUAUAAUGAGUUGUAGUGUAUAAGGUAAUUAAUAUAGAAUUGAAACACCUUUACUUCAUUUAUCAUGUUAUAUAAACCUUAAAUAAAUAUAUAUCAAUACUGGUUGUGUGAAUUAAUAGGAACAAUUGCUAGGUGGCAGUUUAUGCGGGGCACAGAUCCCAUAAAGAGUACCUGGGAAUAUCCAAAAUUAUUCAUCAAGUUUAACGGCUUAAUCUUGCUUUACUGUUUGACUUACACGUCUUUCAGUUGCGUAAGCUGGGCAUAUGAUCACAAGAUGCAGAAAGGAAAGGUCUUGGAUUAAUGAAAAAGUUACGCUAGGGAUAACAGGCUAAUCGCGCCAGAGAGUUCAAAUUGAGUGCGCGGUUUGGCACCUCGAUGUCGACUUAGCUCAUCCACAUGAAUGCAGGAAUCAUGAAGGGUCCGACUGUUCGUCGAUUAAAGAGCUACACGAGUUGGGUUAAAUACGUUGUGAGACAGUAUGGUUUCUAUCUUCUAGAGGAAGUUGGAAUAGAUUAAGGAUAUCCCCUUGUACGAGAGGAAUUGGGUAUAUUAACCCAUGGUUUACCUGUUGUUUGUGUUCCCAUAUUAUUGUAACUAAUAAAGAUUAUUUCUUCAAUUUGUUAUAGCCUCUGAGUUUAUAACCAAAAAAAAAAACAAAAUUUUUGGUGGUAUAGUUUAUGCUGGGGUUUACUUUUCACUACAAUAAAAUUUAUUAAGGCAGUAAGAUGCCUAAUAAAAAGGCACGGCAGGAAAGCUACGUUAGUGAAUGAUAAGUGCUGAAUGCAUCUAGGCACGAAACAUACCUUAGGAUAUUCUCAUAUAUACGUAGUUUAACACUACAAUUUUAAUUAUUUAUUAAUAG